RNAcentral lists this ribosomal RNA (480 nucleotides) under uncultured bacterium. Its description in RNAcentral is "SSU rRNA". It matches the Rfam family "Bacterial small subunit ribosomal RNA", at positions 26 to 523 of the family's 1533-position model. The record is from RNAcentral.
AGAAUCAACGCUGGCGGCGUGCCUAACACAUGCAAGUCGAACGAGAAAGUGGAGCAAUCCAUGAGUAAAGUGGCGACCGGGUGAGUAACACGUGACUAACCUACCCUAGAGUGGGGAAUAACCUCGGGAAACCGGGGCUAAUACCGCAUAACAUCGCAGAGGGAAGCUCUUUGCGAUCAAAGGAGCAAUUCGCUCAAGGAGGGGGUCGCGGCUGAUUAGUUAGUUGGUGAGGUAACGGCUCACCAAGACUUAGAUCAGUAUCCGGCCUGAGAGGGCGCACGGACACACUGGAACUGAAACACGGUCCAGACUCCUACGGGAGGCAGCAGUGGGGAAUUUUGCGCAAUGGGGGAAACCCUGACGCAGCAACGCCGCGUGGAGGAUGAAGUCCCUUGGGAUGUAAACUCCUUUCGAUCGGGACGAUUAUGACGGUACCGGAAGAAGAAGCACCGGCUAACUCUGUGCCAGCAGCCGCGGUAA